UUGGCUGCACGGUGGCAAGUGUGUGCCGUGUGCCCUGGCUGUGCACUUGGACCGGCGGGGAUGCGGGUCUGUGUCGGGUGGGUUUACUACGGUAACACGUGUUUCUUUUUUAUCAAAAACCUGCUGGCAGAGCCGGAGCUGAACAAGGGUGGUGCUGACGGCUGGCCGCGAGGACGCCUUCCCACGCCUGCCACCGAGUUUUCCACACAAACAUACAGCGCGGAGUUGUAAACACCCAAAGGCACACUGGUCAGCUGUGGGUGGCUGCUGGGGACACAUAGUGGCCAGGGCAUCCAGGAGACUCAGACAGCUACCCCCCCCACACACACACACAGCCCACGGGUCCAGAGCCAGGAUCCGUUCUGCCUUGAGCCAACUAGUGUGUGACAAAGCACUUGGAGAACAAGCAAGACAGAAACUUCUGCUGUCAGCGAGGACAGUGAAAGGCAACGUGCAGGUCCCCGGUCUUCGGCCACCACCCCCUCUUCCCGCACCACCACCCUGAGGCAGAGCAGGACCAGCAAAUCCCUCCUGGAUGUGUAGACCAGUGGGCCUCUCGGGCCAUCAAUAAAUGAUGAGCGGUUGCCACAGCAACAGCCCCAACCCAUAUUUUAUCUCCCGGUAAGCAGGGCGAGCUCCAGCCAUACUGCGAAAAGCCAGGCUGGACGGGAAGGGGCAGCGGCCACAGGCCACAGGACAUCGGAGCUCAGAGCACAGGGCCACGUGACCCAGAUCCAUGCUGGGAAGGCCCAAAGGUCAGUGGUGGAAACCAGAAAGUCCAUGCCAGCGGAGUGACGGAGUUGUGCUAGUGGGAUGAGGGUUCUACGCUGGAGCCAGGAAGUGACACUCACAACAAAGACCAGGGCUGUCCUGAAAGGCACCACAGCCAUCCUCAGUGACACAGAGGCCCCGAGCUCCUUCGACAACAAGCACAGUCGGGUACAUGCCAGGAAGCCAGCAUGAUGAGUUCAUCCUGGAGACCAAGCAGCACAUGUCUUCCCCUCCGGAGCCAAGAAGCAAUGCUUGAUGUGAGGACCAAAGCUUCUCCACGAGAACCAAUAGCUCAAACAGCAACUCGUAGGAGAACCCACAACACCUCAACACAAUAACGCAUUAACACCUCCCUUCUUUUCCACCGAUUUAGCCCGGCAGCUUUCCUCAAGUGGAGCAUCUUCACUCAAUGCCAUGCUGAUGUAAUCCAGCUGGCGUUAAAUUGACCACCAGUUCUUAAUCCAUAACAGCCAGUCUGAGUGCAGGAUGCUUCCUGCAGUCCCCUUUCUGCAGCUUGUGCUUGGGGUUUGUCAAGUUUCCCGGAGCCAGCAGUCUGACACUUGUGCCAGCUAUAAUUUCUGCAGGUAGGGGGCUGUCCUCCUCCCUCUGUCCUCCGCUCUGGCUGAGCACUGGCUCUCCCAGGGCCCCUGGAUGCACUUAUGUGUUUAGAGGUCUCUCCCUCGGGGUCUCACUUUGGAGGUCUGCGAUCACCCCAUCUUCGAGUUCUUCAAUCCAUGUUUCUGCAAUGUGCAGCCACACCCAGCAGAACCUUGCUCUCAGUAGGUGCAGCCCGAAUCUCCAGGGCCUUGGCUUGGUCUCUGUACUUCUAGCCUGAAGCUCUGGUCCUUCCCUUCGCUUUCCAGAAGUUUGGGGUGCGGUCCUAACAGCUGUUUUAAUAAGCACAACAUCCGCAGGAGUUCCCGGUUGGUUUCAGCUGAUGGUUGUUUUUCUCCUUAUGAGGCUGCUUUUCCCGCUUUUUUAAAAAUCUUUUACAGAAUGCCUGACAUUGUGAAGCUCACCAUGAUUGGACGCUGAAUUUUCUGUGUUCCUGUAAAUGUACUUGAACUUGGUUUGAGGAUGAAUUUAUAUGAAAAUGGUCUCACUUCUA
This is a long non-coding RNA of Cavia porcellus (domestic guinea pig), 1879 nucleotides long. RefSeq lists it as uncharacterized. The record is from RefSeq and is a predicted model, not a curated record. Lineage: Eukaryota; Metazoa; Chordata; Mammalia; Rodentia; Caviidae. The transcript has 2 exons.